CUGGCUCAGGAUGAACGCUAGCGGCAGGCUAACACAUGCAAGUCGAGGGGCAACGCGAGUAGCAAUACUUGGCGGCGACCGGCGCAAGGGUGCGUAACGCGUGAGCAACAUGCCCGUAUCAGGGGGAUAAUCCAGGGAAACUUGGUCUAAUACCCCAUAGUAAUUUUGUAAGGCAUCUUAUAAGAUUUAAAGCUUUGGUGGAUACGGAUUGGCUCGCGUGACAUUAGCUGGAUGGUAAGGUAACGGCUUACCAUGGCUAUGAUGUCUAGGGGUUCUGAGAGGAAGGUCCCCCACACUGGAACUGAGACACGGUCCAGACUCCUACGGGAGGCAGCAGUGAGGAAUAUUGGACAAUGGAUGGAAAUCUGAUCCAGCCAUGCCGCGUGAAAAGGAAGAAGGUCCUAUGGAUUGUAAACUUCUUUUGUAUGGGAGCAAUAAGGCCUACGUGUAGGUUGAUGAGAGUACCAUACGAAUAAGCACCGGCUAACUCCGUGCCAGCAGCAGC
This 505-nucleotide ribosomal RNA is filed under the name uncultured bacterium. RNAcentral describes it as "bacterial SSU rRNA". It matches the Rfam family "Bacterial small subunit ribosomal RNA", at positions 19 to 518 of the family's 1533-position model. The record is from RNAcentral.